CAAUAGCGUAUACUAACGUUGUUGCAGUUAAAAAGCUCGUAGUUGGAUUUCUGAAGGUGGUUGGAUUGGUGUGACCUCGCGUUGCCUCAACCAUACUAUUUUCAGCAUAUGCGAUGAAUUGGUGUGGUUAAUUAAGUUUGAUCCGCCAUUAAAUCGCUCGUUUACUUUGAGAAAAUUAGAGUGUUCAAAGCAGGCAUAACGCCUUGAAUAUGUUAGCAUGGAAUAAUAGCAUAGGACUUUGGUUCUAUUUGUUGGUUGUUCGAGAACCGGAGUAAUGAUUGAUAGGGACGGUUGGGGGCAUCCGUAUUCUCAAGCGAGAGGUGAAAUUCUUGGACCUUGGGAAGACGAACAGCUGCGAAAGCGUUUGCCUAGGACGUUCUCUUUAA
Molecule: ribosomal RNA, 386 nt
Filed under: uncultured eukaryote
Lineage: Eukaryota
Description: partial 18S ribosomal RNA
Rfam family: Eukaryotic small subunit ribosomal RNA
Source: RNAcentral